UACGUAGGGUGCAAGCGUUAAUCGGAAUUACUGGGCGUAAAGCGUGCGCAGGCGGUUUUGUAAGUCUGUCGUGAAAUCCCCGGGCUCAACCUGGGAAUUGCGAUGGAGACUGCAAGGCUAGAAUCUGGCAGAGGGGGGUAGAAUUCCACGUGUAGCAGUGAAAUGCGUAGAGAUGUGGAGGAACACCGAUGGCGAAGGCGGCAUCCUGGACCGGCAUUGACGCUGAGGCGCGAAAGCCAGGGGAGCAAAGCGGG
RNAcentral lists this ribosomal RNA (254 nucleotides) under uncultured bacterium. RNAcentral's name for it is "partial 16S ribosomal RNA". It matches the Rfam family "Bacterial small subunit ribosomal RNA", at positions 524 to 777 of the family's 1533-position model. The record is from RNAcentral.